AAAAAAGGUAAGCUACUAAGAGCGAAUGGUGGAUGCCUUGACUGGUAAAGGCGAUGAAGGACGUACUAGACUGCGAUAAGCUACGGGGAGCUGUCAAGAAGCUUUGAUCCGUAGAUUUCCGAAUGGGGCAACCCAAUGUAUAGAGAUAUACAUUACCUAUAUAGGAGCGAACGAGGGGAAUUGAAACAUCUUAGUACCCUCAGGAAAAGAAAUCAAUAGAGAUUGCGUCAGUAGCGGCGAGCGAAAGCGCAAGAGGGCAAACCCAGUGCUUGCACUGGGGGUUGUAGGACUGCAAUGUGCAAGAGGUAAGUUUAGCAGAACAUUCUGGAAAGUAUAGCCAUAGAGGGUGAUAGUCCCGUAUGCGAAAAACAAACCUUAGCUAGCAGUAUCCUGAGUAGGGCGGGACACGAGAAAUCCUGUCUGAAGCUGGGUCGACCACGAUCCAACCCUAAAUACUAAUACCAGAUCGAUAGUGCACAAGUACCGUGAGGGAAAGGUGAAAAGAACUGAGGUGAUCAGAGUGAAAUAGAACCUGAAACCAUUUGCUUACAAUCAUUCAGAGCCCUAUGUAGCAAUACAGGGUGAUGGACUGCCUUUUGCAUAAUGAGCCUGCGAGUUGUGGUGUCUGGCAAGGUUAAGCAAACGCGAAGCCGUAGCGAAAGCGAGUCUGAAUAGGGCGCUUAGUCAGAUGCUGCAGACCCGAAACGAAGUGAUCUAUCCAUGAGCAAGUUGAAGCUAGUGUAAGAACUAGUGGAGGACUGAACCCAUAGGCGUUGAAAAGCCCCGGGAUGACUUGUGGAUAGGGGUGAAAGGCCAAUCAAACUUCGUGAUAGCUGGUUCUCUCCGAAAUAUAUUUAGGUAUAGCGUUGUGUCGUAAUAUAAGGGGGUAGAGCACUGAAUGGGCUAGGGCAUACACCAAUGUACCAAACCCUAUCAAACUCCGAAUACCUUAUAUGUAAUCACAGCAGUCAGGCGGCGAGUGAUAAAAUCCGUCGUCAAGAGGGAAACAACCCAGACUACCAGCUAAGGUCCCUAAAUCUUACUUAAGUGGAAAACGAUGUGAAGUUACUUAAACAACCAGGAGGUUGGCUUAGAAGCAGCCAUCCUUUAAAGAAAGCGUAAUAGCUCACUGGUCUAGUGAUUUUGCGCGGAAAAUAUAACGGGGCUAAAGU
This 1172-nucleotide ribosomal RNA is filed under the name Campylobacter coli. RNAcentral's name for it is "partial 23S ribosomal RNA". It matches the Rfam family "Bacterial large subunit ribosomal RNA", at positions 1 to 1188 of the family's 2925-position model. The record is from RNAcentral. Lineage: Bacteria; Pseudomonadati; Campylobacterota; Epsilonproteobacteria; Campylobacterales; Campylobacteraceae.